Nothobranchius furzeri (turquoise killifish) is the source of this 1689-nucleotide non-coding RNA. The record is from RefSeq and is a predicted model, not a curated record. NCBI's taxonomy places the organism in Eukaryota, Metazoa, Chordata, Actinopteri, Cyprinodontiformes, Nothobranchiidae.
AACACUUUUAACAUUUUUGUUAACAGCUUUUGGCUUUUUGUGUUCUUGUCGUGUUUUCUUUAAUGAACCCUGUUAUUCACUCACCUUCUAAUGGAGAACAGCUGUAACAUCUGUUUCUCCCCUCUCCUGCACCCACUAUAACGGAUCUACCAAUCUGCUGAUCUGUCCAAUCAGCCCAUCCACCCAUCCAUGCAACAUGCUCUAAUAUAUCUCACUGGCAUUCAGGGACGAACUAAUCUGAUGGAAAGAUGACGCUGUGAUUUCUGGCACUGCUCGGGAACGGGUCUCACAUGAGCGGUGGUGCAGGUUUUAUAGCUCCCCCGGCACAAAGAAGAACGUUUAAAAGGCGCGGCUCAAAUGAGCUUAGCACACUUUAUUACCCAUCUGCAAACAGCUUAGGAGUCAAGAAGCACAUCCUGGACUUGGUGAUGUUCCCGGGGAUGCUGGAGGAUGAGGACAAUUAGCCCCGAGAAACACAAACAGGUGAUGCAAAGCUCAAACUAAAGGUUAAAACAAUAGCUGGUGAUAAUAAAACCUUAUAUAAGGCCCCGUCCCAGCAUGGAGUAGUUAAAUCACAUUAAUGGGAUUAAAGUAUCAAAAGGUUUGUAAUUAUUCACUGCAGCUUUGCUAACGCAACACGGCUCAGGAUUAGAUGGGAUUAUUUAGUUUUGAUGGCUGUAUUUAAAGCAGAUUAAAGUUUUAAUGCAUUAAUCGUUUCAGGAAGCAGAAGGAAAAUAUUCUUUACAUUAUGAAUUAUUUCACAGCAGCUGUGUUGGACGUAAACAUUAACUGUGUCAGUCCAGGUUGGCCUUUCUCUGCUGGCGGUGAAACGACAUCGCUGUAAAUGGAAACGGGUCGGUUUUGAUGUUCCAGUCACGACCAUCAUAAUGGAAGAAGGCUUUACCGACACUGUGGCGGCCACAGCUCCAGGAGGGUUCAUUCCCAUCAAGCAGCAGACGUCCGGUUUCUCGGCCAAAUCGGACUUGUCAGUCCAGAUUCCCUGGAACAGCGACCCAAAUGUGUCAUCGCUCAAAUGAUAAGUAAUCUCCUCAGCAAUCCAACCCCAUUCAAACUCAGAGGGUGGGCGUAAAAGCUCUCCUCUGCUCGGAGUAAUAACUCGUGGAGUUCACUGUGGUGUUUCCAUGUAGGGCACGCUCACCUGCAGCAUGAAGGACAACGCCCCUCCGAGUCUGUGGCGAUUCGUCAACGCAGACAAAACCGCAUCUUCAGUCAACUCGCCCUCAUACUGGAAGCCUUUCUGUCACUAUUUAUCUCCUCUCUCGUGUCCCACAGCGGCAAGCCAAAACACGGGAUUACACAGCAACAGUUUCUGCACUGAAGCUGCCACCAUAACGCUCAAAUGCUAUACCUCCUAUCCAUGGACGUAAUUUUCACUUUAGAAGUGGGGGGGACGGGGGGAUCUUUACAUUAUGCUCCAAUGGGAAACCGGCUUCAACACAAAUGGUUGUUGUUACACCACUCUGUGGGCUCAGCUAGGAAGGAGAGGGGAAUAAACAUAAGAUGGACCAGUAUAACAAAAAGUGACCCUCGUUGGGGAGAAAAAGGCUUGACCAAGCAAAACCAAACUCAAAGUGUCCUUGUAUGUUCAAAGAUUUUAUUACAAAAAAAAAAGGAACCAAAAGAAGGGCAAAAAAACCCUUUUCUAGAAGUUAUCCAACUAAGUUUAAA